ACUGCGAAUGGCUCAUUAAAUCAGUUAUCGUUUAUUUGAUAGUACCUUACUACUUGGAUACCCGUGGUAAUUCUAGAGCUAAUACAUGCUAAAAACCCCGACUUCGGGAGGGGUGUGUUUAUUAGAUAAAAAACCAACGCCCUUCGGGGCUCCUUGGUGAUUCAUGAUAACCUCUCAGAUCGCACGGCCUUGCGCCGGCGACGGUUCAUUCAAAUUUCUGCCCUAUCAACUUUCGAUGGUAAGGUAUUGGCUUACCAUGGUUUCAACGGGUAACGGGGAAUUAGGGUUCGAUUCCGGAGAGUGAGCCUGAGAAACGGCUCACACAUCCAAGGAAGGCAGCAGGCGCGCAAAUUACCCAAUCCCGACACGGGGAGGUAGUGACAAUAAAUACUGAUACAGGGCUCUUUUGGGUCUUGUAAUUGGAAUGAGUACAAUUUAAACCUCUUAACGAGGAACAAUUGGAGGGCAAGUCUGGUGCCAGCAGCCGCGGUAAUUCCAGCUCCAAUAGCGUAUAUUAAAGUUGUUGCAGUUAAAAAGCUCGUAGUUGAAUCUUUGGCCUGGCUGGCGGGUCCGCCUCACCGCGUGCACUUGUCCGGCCGGGCCUUCUCUUCUGGAGAACCGCAUGCCCUUUACUGGGCGUGUUGGGGACCAGGACUUUUACUUUGAAAAAAUUAGAGUGUUCAAAGCAGGCCUUUGCUCGAAUACGUUAGCAUGGAAUAAUAGAAUAGGACGUGCGGUCCUAUUUUGUUGGUUUCUAGGACCGCCGUAAUGAUUAAUAGGGACAGUCGGGGGCAUCAGUAUUCAAUUGUCAGAGGUGAAAUUCUUGGAUUUAUUGAAGACUAACUACUGCGAAAGCAUUUGCCAAGGAUGUUUUCAUUAAUCAGUGAACGAAAGUUAGGGGAUCGAAGACGAUCAGAUACCGUCGUAGUCUUAACCAUAAACUAUGCCGACUAGGGAUCGGGCGGUGUUAUCGAUUUGACCCGCUCGGCACCUUGCGAGAAAUCAAAGUGU
RNAcentral lists this ribosomal RNA (1011 nucleotides) under Dictyocheirospora lithocarpi. Its description in RNAcentral is "SSU rRNA". It matches the Rfam family "Eukaryotic small subunit ribosomal RNA", at positions 86 to 1106 of the family's 1831-position model. The record is from RNAcentral. Lineage: Eukaryota; Fungi; Ascomycota; Dothideomycetes; Pleosporales; Dictyosporiaceae.